ACUUAAGCCACCCUGAACACACCUGAUCCCAUCUGAUCUCGGAAGCUAAGCAGGGUCGGGCCUGGUUUGUACUUGGAUGGGAGACCACCUAGGAAGACUGGGUGCUGUAGGUG
RNAcentral lists this ribosomal RNA (113 nucleotides) under Pteropus alecto (black flying fox). The record is from RNAcentral. Lineage: Eukaryota; Metazoa; Chordata; Mammalia; Chiroptera; Pteropodidae. RNAcentral also lists the same sequence under 1 other name.